RNAcentral lists this ribosomal RNA (301 nucleotides) under uncultured bacterium. RNAcentral describes it as "partial 16S ribosomal RNA". It matches the Rfam family "Bacterial small subunit ribosomal RNA", at positions 509 to 807 of the family's 1533-position model. The record is from RNAcentral.
CAGUCGCCGCGGUAAUACGUAGGGUGCAAGCGUUAAUCGGAAUUACUGGGCGUAAAGCGUGCGCAGGCGGUUAUAUAAGACAGAUGUGAAAUCCCCGGGCUCAACCUGGGAACUGCAUUUGUGACUGUAUAGCUAGAGUACGGCAGAGGGGGAUGGAAUUCCGCGUGUAGCAGUGAAAUGCGUAGAUAUGCGGAGGAACACCGAUGGCGAAGGCAAUCCCCUGGGCCUGUACUGACGCUCAUGCACAAAAGCGUGGGGAGCAAACAGGAUUAGAUACCCCAGUAGUCCCUGUCUCUUAUAC